AGAACGAACGCUGGCGGCAUGCCUAACACAUGCAAGUCGAACGCGUGUAGCGAUACACGAGUGGCGGACGGGUGAGUAACGCGUGGGAACCUGCCCUGGAGUGUGGGAUAACCGAGGGAAACUUCGGCUAAUACCGCAUACGACCUGAGGGUGAAAGAUUUAUCGCUCUAGGAGGGGCCCGCGUCGGAUUAGCUAGUUGGUGGGGUAAAGGCCUACCAAGGCAGUGAUCCGUAGCUGGUCUGAGAGGAUGAUCAGCCACACUGGGACUGAGACACGGCCCAGACUCCUACGGGAGGCAGCAGUGGGGAAUAUUGGACAAUGGGGGCAACCCUGAUCCAGCAAUGCCGCGUGAGUGAUGAAGGCCUUAGGGUUGUAAAGCUCUUUCGCGCGCGACGAUGAUGACGGUAGCGCGAGAAGAACGCCCCGGCUAACGUUCGCGCCAGCAGCCGC
Molecule: ribosomal RNA, 450 nt
Filed under: uncultured bacterium
Lineage: Bacteria
Description: SSU rRNA
Rfam family: Bacterial small subunit ribosomal RNA
Source: RNAcentral